UGUAUUUGACGCAUGUGACUAAUACAAUUAUAUUAUAUUUUAUUUUAACUUUAUUUAACCGGGCAAGUCAGUUAAGAACAAAUUCUUAUUUUCAAUGACGGCCUAGGAACAGUGGGUUAACUGCCUGUUCAGGGGCAGAGCGACAGAUUUGUACCUUGUCAGCUCGGGGGUUUGAACUUGCAACCUUCUGGUUUAAAUAAAUGUUUGGAGAAAAACAUCUGCAAAAGUAACCAUUUAAACACUUUAUCACAUAUCUUAUUAUUAUCUUAUUAAAGUUUGACCAGAAGAUCACGACCCCCAAAAAUAGCUUAAGCGUUCAUUUAAAUAAUGAUAGUAAUAAAAAAUCCCCAUAACAAAAGCAGCAUGAGCUGGAGCAUUGUUUAUUUGUUUUGUGCAGCCAGCCAGUGUCACGUCCUGACCUUAGUUCCUUUUUUAUGUCUCUAUUUUAGUUUGGUCAGGGCAUGAGUUGGGGUGGGCAUUCUGUGUGUUCUAUGUUUUUGGAUUUCUAUGUGUUUGGCCUGGUAUGGUUCUCAAUCAGAGGCAGCUGUCUAUCGUUGUCUCUGAUUGAGAGCCAUACUUAGGUAGCCUGUUUUCCCAUUUCGAGUGUGGGUGAUUGUUUACUGUCUCUGUACCAGACAGAACUGUUUAGUUUUUUUUUUUUUUUUUUUUUGGGUUGCUCUUAUUUUGUGUUCAGUUUAAAUAAAUAUUAACAUGGACACGUACCACGCUGCAUAUUGGUCCGAUCCUUCCUACUCCUCAGAAGAGGAAAACCGUUACAGCCAGCUUAAGUCAGUGCUGGCCUGUUGAGUGUGAUUAUGGGUGGCCUGCCUGGUCCGGAGCAGACCUGCCUGUUUGUGAGAUCUGUCUUGGACAGUAAUGGCUCAAUGUUUUCUAUGUAGUUAAAUUACUAGUUGAACUUGCAGGUUGCUAACUCAGGAUUAGAUACUGUAGUGUAGCAGUAGCUCAGGGAUAGAUAGUGUUAUUUCUGUUGACGGGGAUCCAAAAUGGACUCUCUCAGGAAAUUGACAUAAAGGAGAUUGAGCUUUCAGUUGUACUGAACAUUAUGAAGAGAUAUUUGUGUAUUGUCAGUCCCCGCCUGUACACCCUGUUCACUCAUGACUGCAAGGCCAGGCACAACUCCAACACCAUCAUUAAGUUUGCUGAUGACACUACAGUGGUCGGCCUGAUCACCAGCAACGAUGAGACAGCCUAUAGGGAGGACAACAACCUCUCCCUCAACGUGAUCAAGACAAAGGAGAUUGUGGACUACAGGAAAAGGAGAACCGAGCACACCCCCAUUCUCAUCAAUGGGGCUGUAGUGGAGCAGGUUGAGAGCUUCAAGUUCCUUGGCGCCCACAUCACCAACAAACUAACAUGGUCCAAGCACACCAAGACAGUCAUGAAGAGGGUACGACAAAACCUAU
Molecule: long non-coding RNA, 1424 nt
Organism: Oncorhynchus tshawytscha (Chinook salmon)
Lineage: Eukaryota; Metazoa; Chordata; Actinopteri; Salmoniformes; Salmonidae
Source: Ensembl